UACUUGCGUUGGGGACGCAGAGUGGGCGGAGUUUAGUAGGAAGGAAAUGGCGUCGCUGGGCUGCGCCAGGCGCCGGAUCUAAAGGAAUCACUUUCCCCCGCUUAUGCAGUAGUCAUUUGACUAACUCUACCAGCUAAACGUCUCUUGGAUGUAUUCCCUUUUCUCCAUCCCAGUGCUGCUGUCGUCAUUUGUCACCUAGCUUGAAUGGGAGUCCUUCCCUGAGAUACAUCUUCCACGUGGGGCUGCCAGAUGGAUCUUCUGGAAACACUAAUCAAAGCAUGCCCACACCUGCCUUAAAAUCUCAACUUGUUAGCCCGCUAUAUAAGGCCAUCGGCGACAGGGCCUCAGCCUGCUUCUCAGCCUGAGUGCUGACCACACACUCCAGCACCACCCCACCCUCAAAUCUUCCUGUCAUCGGAGCUUGCCAGUCUCACUGAACACAGGGGACCCGGUGGCGCUCGCAACCAGGGGACAGGCCCUCCUGAGCUGAGGAUGGCUACUCAGGGCCCUUUCUCCAUCUCACCUCUCAGGUAAGUCAGCAGUUACCAUCCUGCCCUCCACUCUGCUUUUGGAGAGAGUGAGGGUGACUCUGGAGACAGGUGAGCCCAGCAGGCAAACUGGCGGGCGCCAUAAGGGGCUCUGGUAGAGAAGAGCCGCUCUGACAGCCUCAGAGAGGAGACAGGACCAGAGGGGCUAUCGACUCUUUUCCUGGCUUAUGGUAAAGCAGUUCCCAACUCCUUUCUCCUCGUGUUUUGUCUCCAGGCAACCAGUUCCCCUACAAUCAAGUACCCAAAACUGUGUCGACCCUCAGAUUUUGCUUUGUUUGAUCAGUAACAAGUUUUAACAUAUUUCAGAUUUAAAUACCUUGUGGGUACAGUAUGUAUAUCCUUUCAUUUUCUACAGUCCCCACCACUCCCAAUUGCUUUCACAGGCCUGCUCCAUUAUAUCUGAUCUGACUCUGAUCUUCUGCUGGUAGGUGACAUAUUAACCCUUUCACUUUUAUCACCUUAAUCCUCUCCUUUCUUUCUCCUUCUCUGAAGUCAACAGCCUCAAGGAAUGAGUGUCAGUCUUGAGUGCCUGCCCCCGCCCAUGCCUCCACUGCUUCACUGGCCCCACUGGGCCCCACUCUUCACAUCUGCCUUUCAUGUCCUCAAAUCAUCCCCCUCCCAGAGCCUGCACACAUUCUGGCCCCUCUUCCUGCCAUGCCCUCUGUCUCCUCCUGGUUAAUUCACACUCAGCCUCCAGAUCUCCACCCAAAUGUCACUUUCUCAAGAAAACCCUUCCUGAGGCCCAGGCCAGGCUGGGUCCCUCACAUGCUCAGAACACCCUGCACUUCUGCUUCACAGCACUUACCGCAAUUGUCUUACAAUAAUUACCUGUGAAAUGAACUAUUAGCUGACAUUUUCCUUCCCUCCUCCCCCACUCCUGACCGCCACCAUCUCCUAGACAUGAGCUCAGGGAGGGCAGUUACUCUGUUUGCCUGGUUCAUAGUUGUAUCUGCAACUCUUGGGACAAUUUGAGUGCUCGUUACAUAUUGAUGAGUGUGUGAGUGAGUGAGUGAGUGAGAACGAAAGGAUGGUCAGGAUGUCAUCAGACUGAGAUGGCAGGGAGGAGAAUUUCAGGACAAGACAGGAUGAACAGAGGUCCCAAGACAGCGCAGCAUGGAGCAUAUGACCGUACCAUGAGAAGUCUAGUUCAUUCAUAAAUUCCAGCCUUUGUGAAUGAGCUGGACUUCCCGAAGGCACCUCAGUGAGCAGGAGGCUGUCCCUCUGUCAUUCUUUCCCUCACCACUGCGCCCGAAGUGCCCGCCAUGUGUAGGCAGGAGAGAGUCACCCAGCUUCUGUGGGCCCUUUGACUUGUCCCCAGAAAGUCCCCUUUUGCACUCCUUCUAGUAAGUUUUCCUCAACGUCCCCCAUCUAUUUAAACUCCUUAUUUCAUUUCCUCUUGAAAUAAAAACCAUUUGCUAAAAUCUUCCUCCAUUUCUCUUUUUUCCAUCUGAACUCUAGCCCUCAGCAGCACUUUACAUUUAGUGGAGAAGGGAGAACAGUCUUCUCAGGACGAGUUUUUCUAAAUGUUUGUGGUUUUACCUGAAUUGUUUUUGUUUGAGGUUUAAAGGGAUCCAUUGACUUUUCUGACCCAUUCAGGAACUUUGCUAUUUUUAAAUACAAGAGGGAUGUGCCAAGUAAUAGCAAAUCAAAACCACCUCCACUGGUGAAAAUUACCUUCAAGAAGGACAGACCAUGGAGCGUUUGAGAUCUUGUUCCUCGCCAUAUGGCGUCAGUUUGGCUAAAAUAAACUCAUAAAAAUUUCAAAACAACAACAAAAAAGGACAGACCACCUUUCAGAGGGCUGGUGAAGUAAUGGAGAGGAGGGUCUGGGUGCAGGAGUUUGGGUGCUGAGCCAGCUCUGACCACAGCCCCUGGCAGGUGGUCCUGCACAGCACUGGCCUUCUCGGCACGACAAGGGAGUUGGUCAGGGACUGGGUCUCAAGCCUCUCUCUAACUCUUAUGACUCACCUGGGUCUCCGAGGUCAAGGUUAGUGGAUGUCACUCUUUCCCCCUUCACAGAAGCCCAGGAAAGUCCCAGAGCAUAGGUCACCAUGCGGCAGCCUUGGCAGGCUGCCUGUGUCCUUAGAUAAUCAUCAUGCCUGUCUGCGGAGGGGGCGCAUUGUGAGUCCCAAUUUACAGGAAUGGAAGGAGAUUAGAGAAGUGGCUCUUUCUGUGUUCUGUGAAGAGUAGGACUCUCACUUCCACCCGCUGGGGCUGUUGACUCAGAAGUGGGCCUCAUGAUUGGUGUUAUGGGUUGCAUGUUUGUGUCUCUCCCAAAUGCAUGUUGAAAUCCUAACCCCAAAUGUUAUGAUUUUAGGAGAUGGGGAUUUUGCGAAGUAAUUAAGUCAUGAGGGUGGGGCCCUCAUGAGUGGAAUUAGUGCCCUUAUAAAAGAGGCCCCGGAGAACUAGCUCACCCUCUUUCUGCAUGUGAGGACACAAGGGGAAGAUGAGCUGGAAGAGGGUCCUCACCAGGACCCAACCCUGCUGGCACCCUGAUCUCAGACUUCCAGCCUCCAGAACUGUGAGAAAUACAUGCAUGUUGUUUAAGUCACCCAGGCUACAGUAAUUUGUUACAGCAGCCAGUUGGGUUGACAGAAGGGUUCUCUGCAUACGUGGAGGUCUCUCCAUAGUCCCUUUAGGGAGAC
Hipposideros armiger (great roundleaf bat) is the source of this 3193-nucleotide long non-coding RNA. RefSeq lists it as uncharacterized. The record is from RefSeq and is a predicted model, not a curated record. Lineage: Eukaryota; Metazoa; Chordata; Mammalia; Chiroptera; Hipposideridae. The transcript has 3 exons.